GUCGGGGUAGUUUAGUGGUUAGAACGCGGCGCUCAUAACGCCGAAGUCGCGAGUUCAAAUCUCGCCUCCGACA
This 73-nucleotide transfer RNA is filed under the name Candidatus Helarchaeota archaeon. Its description in RNAcentral is "tRNA-Met". It matches the Rfam family "tRNA". From Rfam's summary of the family: Transfer RNA (tRNA) molecules are approximately 80 nucleotides in length. Their secondary structure includes four short double-helical elements and three loops (D, anti-codon, and T loops). Lineage: Archaea; Promethearchaeati; Candidatus Helarchaeota. The record is from RNAcentral.